GGCACCUUGGCCUAAUGGUAAGGCGUUGCUUUCCGGCUACUCGUUUGGAACGUGGCAAAGAUUGUGGGUUCGAGUCCCAUAGGUGUCG
RNAcentral lists this transfer RNA (88 nucleotides) under Paraphaeosphaeria sporulosa. It matches the Rfam family "tRNA". From Rfam's summary of the family: Transfer RNA (tRNA) molecules are approximately 80 nucleotides in length. Their secondary structure includes four short double-helical elements and three loops (D, anti-codon, and T loops). Further hydrogen bonds mediate the characteristic L-shaped molecular structure. tRNAs have two regions of fundamental functional importance: the anti-codon, which is responsible for specific mRNA codon recognition, and the 3' end, to which the tRNAs corresponding amino acid is attached (by aminoacyl-tRNA synthetases). tRNAs cope with the degeneracy of the genetic code in two manners: having more than one tRNA (with a specific anti-codon) for a particular amino acid; and 'wobble' base-pairing, i.e. permitting non-standard base-pairing at the 3rd anti-codon position. The record is from Rfam by way of RNAcentral. Lineage: Eukaryota; Fungi; Ascomycota; Dothideomycetes; Pleosporales; Didymosphaeriaceae.